RNAcentral lists this long non-coding RNA (134 nucleotides) under Capra hircus (goat). RNAcentral describes it as "lncRNA (ENSCHIG00010008209.1)". Lineage: Eukaryota; Metazoa; Chordata; Mammalia; Artiodactyla; Bovidae. The record is from RNAcentral.
ACCCUUAGGGCCACGUUGAUACGUCCCUUUCUGUGGGGGCCUUAUGCCUGCAGAACCCUUGGCCCGGGGCCCUGGCGUCUCCUGUCCGCUGAGCCAUGGCCACCCCUGAUGUGAGUGUCCACAUGGAGGAGGUG